Molecule: long non-coding RNA, 225 nt
Filed under: Elaeis guineensis (African oil palm)
Lineage: Eukaryota; Viridiplantae; Streptophyta; Magnoliopsida; Arecales; Arecaceae
Description: long non-coding RNA (EGUI_LNC049823)
Source: RNAcentral
GCAUCGGAGGGUCUCCGUCGGACACAAUUUCAAUUUGUGAGGUCUUCAUUUUGCAGGUGCUCUUCACCGACGAUGAGUGCAAUAGAGAAUUGACCGUAAUAAUUAUGCUCUACAUAAAUAUAGUAGUAUUAUUCUGAGAACAUAACCUUCCUAGUCAAGGUUAUGGGAUCCGGAAUGUAUACUAAGAUGCUAUCCACAUCGAAAAGAAGCUACCAAACCAACAUC